This 279-nucleotide ribosomal RNA is filed under the name uncultured bacterium. Its description in RNAcentral is "partial 16S ribosomal RNA". It matches the Rfam family "Bacterial small subunit ribosomal RNA", at positions 506 to 784 of the family's 1533-position model. The record is from RNAcentral.
UGCCAGCCGCCGCGGUAAUACGGAGGGGGCUAGCGUUGUUCGGAAUUACUGGGCGUAAAGGGCGUCUAGGUGGUCUGGCAAGUCAGGUGUGAAAGCCCUCGGCUCAACCGAGGAAGUGCACCUGAAACUGCCAGACUUGAGUACUGGAGGGGGCGGCGGAAUUCCCGGUGUAGAGGUGAAAUUCGUAGAUAUCGGGAGGAACACCAGCGGCGAAGGCGGCCGCCUGGCCAGAUACUGACACUGAAGCGCGAAAGCGUGGGGAGCAAACAGGAUUAGAUA